RNAcentral lists this ribosomal RNA (474 nucleotides) under uncultured bacterium. RNAcentral's name for it is "partial 16S ribosomal RNA". It matches the Rfam family "Bacterial small subunit ribosomal RNA", at positions 28 to 507 of the family's 1533-position model. The record is from RNAcentral.
GACGAACGCUGGCGGCGUGCCUAAUACAUGCAAGUAGAACGCUGAAGGAGGAGCUUGCUCUUGUGCAUGAGUUGCGAACGGGUGAGUAACGCGUAGGUAACCUGCCUGGUAGCGGGGGAUAACUAUUGGAAACGAUAGCUAAUACCGCAUAAGAGUAGCUGUUGCAUGACAUUUACUUAAAAGGUGCAAUUGCGUCGGUUCCAGUUGGACGUGCGGUGUUUUAGCUUGUAGGUGGGGUAGCGGCUUGCCAUGGCGAGGAUGCGUAGCCGGCCUGUGAGGGGGACACGCCACAGUGGGACUGAGAAAGGGGCAGUAGUCAUACGGCGGGCAGCAGUGGGAAACAGUGCAAGAUGGGCCGAAGGCUGAAGCAGCAAUGUCGCGUGCGAGAGGUCGGUUGUCGGGGUGGAACGCGCGUUAGCGUGGGAAGAAGACUGAGUGACGGUAACUGAUAAAGAAGCAACGGCUAACUACGUG